GGGGCUGCACUGGUUUCGACAUGAGUUCGGACGCGUGGCAGGGCAUGUCGAGGUUCUGUUACCUCGUUAAACAGCAGAAAAAAAACUAACUGCAAACGACGAACGUUUCGCACUCGCCGCUUAAUCCGGUGAGCCUUGCAACAGUUGGCCGAUAGGCUGGGUUAGGGUGAAGGGGGCGUUAAAACCUCACAAGUCCUAGCUGCAAGGUAACUCAUAUUGGCUGGCAUGACACCGGGCACCUUGGUGUUGUGUGAGAUCUAAGGAUGCUGGUUGGGUACAUAGCGUGUCGCUGCGCGAUGUAUUUGAUGAGACUCAAAUCAGACGACUACACAUGUAGAACUGUACGAAAAAGACUUAUGGACGCGGGUUCAAAUCCCGCCAGCUCCACCA
Molecule: transfer-messenger RNA, 390 nt
Filed under: Burkholderiales
Lineage: Bacteria; Pseudomonadati; Pseudomonadota; Betaproteobacteria
Also listed under: 1 other name
Description: Limnohabitans sp002778315 Standard tmRNA
Rfam family: transfer-messenger RNA
About the family: Bacterial tmRNA, also known as 10Sa RNA or SsrA, is named for its dual tRNA and mRNA-like properties. Its role is to liberate the mRNA from a stalled ribosome.
Source: RNAcentral